GCCUCUCUCUCUGGCUCAGUGGCAAAGCAUCUGUGUUGCAGGCAUAAGAUCCUAGGUUCAAUUCUCUAGCUUCUCCA
RNAcentral lists this transfer RNA (77 nucleotides) under Sphaerodactylus townsendi. RNAcentral describes it as "tRNA-Ala". The record is from RNAcentral. Lineage: Eukaryota; Metazoa; Chordata; Lepidosauria; Squamata; Sphaerodactylidae.